UACGGAGGGAGCGAGCGUUGUCCGAAGUUACUGGGCGUAAAGCGCGCGUAGGCGGGGAAUUAAGUGAGAAGUGAAAGGCUGGGGCUCAACCUCAUGCAGUGCUCCUCAUACUGGUUCUCUUGAGGGCGGUAGGGAGAAGUGGAAUGGCUGGUGUAGCGGUGAAAUGCGCAGAUAUCAGGAGGAACACCAAUUGCGAAGGCAGCUCGCUGGGACGUUACUGACGCUGAGACGCGAAAGCGUGGGGAGCAAACAGG
RNAcentral lists this ribosomal RNA (254 nucleotides) under uncultured bacterium. Its description in RNAcentral is "partial 16S ribosomal RNA". It matches the Rfam family "Bacterial small subunit ribosomal RNA", at positions 524 to 776 of the family's 1533-position model. The record is from RNAcentral.